GUAUACCUACGGGGCGCAGCAGUGGGGAGUAUUGGGCAAUGGGCGCAAGCCUGACCCAGCAACGCCGCGUGAAGGAAAAAGGCUUUCGGGUUGUAAACUUCUUUUCUCAGGGACGAAGCAAGUGACGGUACCUGAGGAAUAAGCCACGGCUAACUACGUGCCAGCAGCCGCGGUAAUACGUAGGUGGCAAGCGUUAUCCGGAUUUACUGGGUGUAAAGGGCGUGUAGGCGGGAAAGCAAGUCAGAUGUGAAAACCACGGGCUCAACCUGUGGCCUGCAUUUGAAACUGUUUUUCUUGAAUACUGG
Molecule: ribosomal RNA, 305 nt
Filed under: uncultured bacterium
Lineage: Bacteria
Description: bacterial SSU rRNA
Rfam family: Bacterial small subunit ribosomal RNA
Source: RNAcentral